Molecule: small RNA, 853 nt
Filed under: uncultured Sordaria
Lineage: Eukaryota; Fungi; Ascomycota; Sordariomycetes; Sordariales; Sordariaceae
Description: eukaryotic LSU rRNA
Rfam family: Eukaryotic large subunit ribosomal RNA (bases 579-853)
Source: RNAcentral
CUUGGUCAUUUAGAGGAAGUAAAAGUCGUAACAAGGUCUCCGUUGGUGAACCAGCGGAGGGAUCAUUAAAAGAGCGCCGAAAGGCUGCUUAUAACCAUCGCGAACCUAUCCAUCAGCGUUGCUUCGGCGGGAGCGCUCGCGGGACCGGAUUCUGUCCGGGCCCCGGGCCGUGGACCCACCCCCUCCGGGGUGUGGGGCCGCCCGCCGGAGGUACGAAACUCUGCAUCUUAGUGAUAUCUCUGAGUAAACAAGCAAAUAAGUUAAAACUUUCAACAACGGAUCUCUUGGUUCUGGCAUCGAUGAAGAACGCAGCGAAAUGCGAUAAGUAAUGUGAAUUGCAGAAUUCAGUGAAUCAUCGAAUCUUUGAACGCACAUUGCGCCCGCCAGUACUCUGGCGGGCAUGCCUGUUCGAGCGUCAUUUCAACCCUCAAGCCCUGCUUGGUGUUGGGGUCCUACGGCUGCCGUAGGCCCUGAAAGGAAGUGGCGGGCUCGCUACAACUCCGAGCGUAGUAGAAUCCUAUCUCGCUAGGGAGGUGCGGCGUGCUCCUGCCGUUAAAGACCCCAUCUUUAACCAAGGUUGACCUCGGAUCAGGUAGGAAUACCCGCUGAACUUAAGCAUAUCAAUAAGCGGAGGAAAAGAAACCAACAGGGAUUGCCCUAGUAACGGCGAGUGAAGCGGCAACAGCUCAAAUUUGAAAUCUGGCUUCGGCCCGAGUUGUAAUUUGUAGAGGAUGCUUUUGGCGAGGUGCCUUCUGAGUUCCCUGGAACGGGACGCCAUAGAGGGUGAGAGCCCCGUAUAGUCGGACACCUAGCCUCUGUAAAGCUCCUUCGACGAGUCGAGUUGUUUGGGAAU